AUUGAACGCUGGCGGCAGGCUUAACACAUGCAAGUCGAGCGGUAGCACAGGGGAGCUUGCUCCCUGGGUGACGAGCGGCGGACGGGUGAGUAAUGUCUGGGAAACUGCCUGAUGGAGGGGGAUAACUACUGGAAACGGUAGCUAAUACCGCAUAACGUCGCAAGACCAAAGAGGGGGACCUUCGGGCCUCUUGCCAUCAGAUGUGCCCAGAUGGGAUUAGCUAGUAGGUGGGGUAAUGGCUCACCUAGGCGACGAUCCCUAGCUGGUCUGAGAGGAUGACCAGCCACACUGGAACUGAGACACGGUCAAGACUCCUACGGGAGGCAGCAGUGGGGAAUAUUGCACAAUGGGCGCAAGCCUGAUGCAGCCAUGCCGCGUGUGUGAAGAAGGCCUUCGGGUCGUAAAGCACUUUCAGCGAGGAGGAAGGUGGUGAGCUUAAUACGUUCAUCAAUUGACGUUACUCGCAGAAGAAGCACCGGCUAACUCCGUG
Molecule: ribosomal RNA, 490 nt
Filed under: uncultured bacterium
Lineage: Bacteria
Description: partial 16S ribosomal RNA
Rfam family: Bacterial small subunit ribosomal RNA
Source: RNAcentral